UGUAUCAUCAGAUGCGCCUAUCAGUUAAUGUGGAGCUACACUAAGUAAUAUUAGACCUAAAAGAGCGAUGACAUCAUCAGCCACACUGAAUGAGGUUGGGUUGAAUAAAUACAUUGCUGCCUUACCGUCUCCACGGCAUCUCCUUAUGUUUGGAUUACUGCAGCUUUAACUAAACAACUGCAACAUUUGGAUGCUCCACAAACAAGAUUCCUCAAAACCACAUCACGCAGGGGUUUAUCUAAAUAUAAGAGGAAUAGGAAUGACAUUGGAACUACAUGAGUGUGAGGAAAUGAAAACAAACCCAUUUUGACAUCCCAAAAAUCAAGCAUUCUGCCUACUUUUCAAAAGUAGGUCCUCAUGCUGGUGUGGUUACCUCAAUCCAGGUGGUGGAAAACAAGUCUCCGUUGCCUCCGCUUUUGAGACCGUCAAUCCGCG
Molecule: long non-coding RNA, 435 nt
Organism: Xyrauchen texanus (razorback sucker)
Lineage: Eukaryota; Metazoa; Chordata; Actinopteri; Cypriniformes; Catostomidae
Exons: 3
Source: RefSeq, a predicted model, not a curated record